Molecule: ribosomal RNA, 253 nt
Filed under: uncultured bacterium
Lineage: Bacteria
Description: partial 16S ribosomal RNA
Rfam family: Bacterial small subunit ribosomal RNA
Source: RNAcentral
UACGUAGGGUGCAAGCGUUAAUCGGAAUUACUGGGCGUAAAGCGUGCGCAGGCGGUUAUGUAAGUCAGAUGUGAAAUGCCCGGGCUUGACCUGGGAACUGCAUUUGUGACUGCAUGGCUAGAGUUUGGCAGAGGGGGGUAGAAUUCCACGUGUAGCAGUGAAAUGCGUAGAGAUGUGGAGGAACACCGAUGGCGAAGGCAGCCUUCUGGGCCAACACUGACGCUCAUGCACGAAAGCGUGGGGAGCAAACAGG